Long non-coding RNA from Dreissena polymorpha, 256 nucleotides. RefSeq lists it as uncharacterized. The record is from RefSeq and is a predicted model, not a curated record. The transcript has 3 exons. NCBI's taxonomy places the organism in Eukaryota, Metazoa, Mollusca, Bivalvia, Myida, Dreissenidae.
CUUAUAGAAAGAAGAUGUUUUCAAGGAAGAUGUCUUCAAAGAAAACUACUUUUACAGUAAAAGUUCCCAGAGAAAAGAGCAUGCCGCCCACACACAAGCGCACCCACGCCAAGCGAGCUAGAGAAUAUUUGAUAAAGUUCCAAUUCUUGAUGAGUCCAAAGGAGCUUGGGUCCCCAGCCCCAGUCUUGAUGUUGUACCAGCCAUCGUCGGAGUUGUUGGUCUGCAGGCAACACAGAUUUAUACAACAUGAGAUGAG